UAGGGAAUCUUCGGCAAUGGGGGGAACCCUGACCGAGCAACGCCGCGUGAGUGAAGAAGGUUUUCGGAUCGUAAAGCUCUGUUGUUAAGGAAGAACGAGUGUGAGAAUGGAAAGUUCAUACUGUGACGGUACUUAACCAGAAAGGGACGGCUAACUACGUGCCAGCAGCCGCGGUAAUACGUAGGUCCCGAGCGUAGUCCGGAUUUAUUGGGCGUAAAGCGAGCGCAGGCGGUUAGAUAAGUCUGAAGUUAAAGGCAGUGGCUCAACCAUUGUAGGCUUUGGAAACUGUUUAACUUGAGUGCAGAAGGGGAGAGUGGAAUUCCAUGUGUAGCGGUGAAAUGCGUAGAUAUAUGGAGGAACACCGGUGGCGAAAGCGGCUCUCUGGUCUGUAACUGACGCUGAGGCUCGAAAGCGUGGGGAGCGAACAGG
This 429-nucleotide ribosomal RNA is filed under the name Bacteroidota bacterium. RNAcentral's name for it is "Bacteroidetes bacterium partial 16S ribosomal RNA". It matches the Rfam family "Bacterial small subunit ribosomal RNA", at positions 355 to 776 of the family's 1533-position model. The record is from RNAcentral. Lineage: Bacteria; Pseudomonadati; Bacteroidota.